GUGAAUUGAACUAUGCUUAGGUGUACUUCUCUUCGGCAAGUCCCUAGCAUUAAAUCACAUCCAUAACACCUGUGAACUGUAAGGACUGUAUGAAUGAAGGUCUUGCCAAGUCAGCGUCCUGCCCAUUUUAUACAAACAUUAAUGUAACAAACGUAGUCUUAUUAUAACCUAAUA
This 174-nucleotide unclassified non-coding RNA is filed under the name soil metagenome. RNAcentral's name for it is "partial internal transcribed spacer 1". The record is from RNAcentral.